GUCUAUGGCCAUGCCUCCCUGAACAAGCCCGAUCCCGUCUGAUCUCGGAAGCUAAGCAGGGUCGGGCCUGGUUAGUACUUAGGUGGGAGACCACCUAGAAGACCAGAUGCUGUAGGCG
This 118-nucleotide ribosomal RNA is filed under the name Pteropus alecto (black flying fox). The record is from RNAcentral. Lineage: Eukaryota; Metazoa; Chordata; Mammalia; Chiroptera; Pteropodidae.